ACGGGGAGCAGCAGGCACGAAACCUUUACACUGCACGGAAGUGCGAUAAGGGGACCCCGAGUGCGAGGGCAUACAGUCCUCGCUUUUCACGACCGUAGGGAGGUCGUGGAAUAAGAGCUGGGCAAGACCGGUGCCAGCCGCCGCGGUAAUACCGGCAGCUCGAGUGAUGGCCGCUGUUAUUGGGCCUAAAGCGUCCGUAGCCGGCCGUGCAAGUCCGUCGGGAAAUCCAUCGGCCCAACCGAUGGGCGUCCGGCGGAAACUGUACGGCUUGGGGCCGGAAGACCCGAGGGGUACGUCCGGGGUAGGAGUGAAAUCCCGUAAUCCUGGACGGACCACUGGUGGCGAAAGCGCCUCGGGAAGACGGAUCCGACAGUGAGGGACGAAAGCUGGGGUCUCGAACCGGAUUAGAUACCCGGGUAGUCCCAGCUGUAAACGAUGUCCGCUAGGUGUGGCGCAGGCUACGAGCCUGCGCUGUGCCGUAGGGAAGCCGUGAAGCGGACCGCCUGGGAAGUACGUCUGCAAGGAUGAAACUUAAAGGAAUUGGCGGGGGAGCAC
RNAcentral lists this ribosomal RNA (555 nucleotides) under uncultured archaeon. RNAcentral's name for it is "bacterial SSU rRNA". It matches the Rfam family "Archaeal small subunit ribosomal RNA", at positions 325 to 879 of the family's 1478-position model. The record is from RNAcentral.